GAAAUUUAGUUAACUUAUAACAUUAAUAUGUCAUAUUAAAAUAAUUAUAUAAAUAAUAAUUUCA
RNAcentral lists this transfer RNA (64 nucleotides) under Stheneboea repudiosa. RNAcentral's name for it is "tRNA-Asp". Lineage: Eukaryota; Metazoa; Arthropoda; Insecta; Phasmatodea; Lonchodidae. The record is from RNAcentral.